This 253-nucleotide ribosomal RNA is filed under the name uncultured bacterium. Its description in RNAcentral is "partial 16S ribosomal RNA". It matches the Rfam family "Bacterial small subunit ribosomal RNA", at positions 524 to 776 of the family's 1533-position model. The record is from RNAcentral.
UACGGAGGGGGCUAGCGUUGUUCGGAAUUACUGGGCGUAAAGCGCGCGUAGGCGGACCUGCAAGUCGGGGGUGAAAGCCCGAGGCUCAACCUCGGAACUGCCUUUGAUACUGAUGGUCUCGAGUCCGGAAGAGGUGAGUGGAAUUCCGAGUGUAGAGGUGAAAUUCGUAGAUAUUCGGAGGAACACCAGUGGCGAAGGCGGCUCACUGGUCCGGUACUGACGCUGAGGUGCGAAAGCGUGGGGAGCAAACAGG